UACGUAGGGUGCAAGCGUUGUCCGGAAUUAUUGGGCGUAAAGAGCUCGUAGGCGGUUCAGCAAGUCGGGUGUGAAAACUCUGGGCUCAACCCAGAGACGCCACCCGAUACUGCUGUGACUAGAGUCCGGUAGGGGAGUGGGGAAUUCCUGGUGUAGCGGUGAAAUGCACAGAUAUCAGGAGGAACACCGGUGGCGAAGGCGCCACUCUGGGCCGGCACUGACGCUGAGACGCGAAAGCGUGGGGAGCAAACAGG
Molecule: ribosomal RNA, 254 nt
Filed under: uncultured bacterium
Lineage: Bacteria
Description: partial 16S ribosomal RNA
Rfam family: Bacterial small subunit ribosomal RNA
Source: RNAcentral